Molecule: ribosomal RNA, 253 nt
Filed under: uncultured bacterium
Lineage: Bacteria
Description: partial 16S ribosomal RNA
Rfam family: Bacterial small subunit ribosomal RNA
Source: RNAcentral
UACGGGGGGGGCAAGCGUUGUUCGGAAUUACUGGGCGUAAAGGGCUCGUAGGCGGCUCCUUAAGUCAGACGUGAAAUCCCUCGGCUUAACCGGGGAACUGCGUCUGAGACUGAAGAGCUUGAAUCCGGGAGAGGGAUGCGGAAUUCCAGGUGUAGCGGUGAAAUGCGUAGAUAUCUGGAGGAACACCGGUGGCGAAGGCGGCAUCCUGGACCGGUAUUGACGCUGAGGAGCGAAAGCCAGGGGAGCAAACGGG